RNAcentral lists this long non-coding RNA (1261 nucleotides) under Mus pahari (shrew mouse). Its description in RNAcentral is "lncRNA (MGP_PahariEiJ_G0005216.1)". Lineage: Eukaryota; Metazoa; Chordata; Mammalia; Rodentia; Muridae. The record is from RNAcentral.
AGAGGGAAUUUUCCAUGUUUAUUCAAACUCUUCUGAAGCCCACUGAGCUGAGCCCUUUUGGAGGGUCCAUGGUCGGUCCAUGUUAAUGUGAAUCUGCACACAAUGCAGAUUAAAAACAUGGAAAUACAGUGCUUGAGGAGUCAGCUACAAAGUGCUGAUGGAGUGCUAGUGUUAAGUACAACAAAAGCCACACAUCUGGAGGACUGCAUGUUCUCCAGUCAGCCUGCUGAUGGGGCCACAUAAGGAAGUAGGAAACAAAGAGCCUCUGCCCAAGCAAGGCUGGAGGUUCUGGAAAACUCUAGGUCCUUCCUGAGCCCUCAUACCACAUGAUCCUCAACGGGAAACUGAAGCUCCCUCCAGGAAACAAGUGGAAGAGAAAUCCAGAACAGGAAAGGGAGAGACAUGUGGCAGGAUCCCAGGAGCAGGCAGGCCAGGUCAAAGUAAAGGAGGCCUUGCGUCUCUUUUGACAGGAUGGCAGUGGUCACAGGUGAGUGACGAAUUCCCCAGGGGGAAGGAAAAGAUUCUGUCAGAGUCACAGGAAGUGUCCCCCUGGAGGGCCAGGUGCGGACAGGUGUGGGACAGGUACUGCUCAGGUCCCACCAUCGGUUCACCCCACAGGUUGGGCCAUCUUUGCGUGCAAGCUCUGGUGCGCAAUGAGGUGUGCACGCUGCUUGAAGCUCUUGUCACAUUCCCCACAGCCGAAUGGCCGCUCGCCCGUGUGCACACGCCUGUGGUCUAGCAGGUAGGAGCGCAGCGAGAAGCUCUUGCCACACUCGCUGCAGCUGAAGGGCUUCUCACCUGUGUGGAUGCGCUGGUGGUCAGCCAGGUAGGCGCUCCGGCUGAAGUUCUUGCCACAUUCAGAACAAGAGAAAGGCUUCUCGCCCGUGUGCACGCCCUGGUGGCGCACUAGGUCAGAAGAGCUGCGGAAGCUCUUGUCGCAUUCAGGGCACUUGUGUGGCUUCUCACCCGUGUGUGUGCGCUGGUGCCUGGCUAAGUCAGAACCCCAGCGGAAGCGCUUCCCACACUGCGCGCAGCUGUGGGGCUUCUCCGCCACUAAGUUCUGAAAGUGGCGCCUGCGAGUGGGCGGCCGCCCCCGACGCGCUCCCACCAGCGGGUCCAGGGCUGUCCUCAUUGGGUUCUCACUCCCCCAGACCUCGGUCACAGCCUCCUCGGGAUUCCAAGACAUAGGCACUUCAGUCUGUCCCAACAGUGCUGUCACUGCCUCCUCUGCAGGGGCCUUUUGGCUUUUGGGUCUCAAACC